UACGUAGGUGGCAAGCGUUGUCCGGAUUCACUGGGCGUAAAGGGUGCGUAGGUGGCCAGGUAAGUUCGGUGUGAAAGCUCGGAGCUUAACUCCGAAAUGGCAUUGAAUACUAUCUGGCUAGAGGGUCGGAGGGGAGACUGGAAUUCUCGGUGUAGCAGUGAAAUGCGUAGAUAUCGAGAGGAACACCAGUGGCGAAGGCGAGUCUCUGGACGACUCCUGACACUGAGGCACGAAAGCCAGGGGAGCAAACAGG
Molecule: ribosomal RNA, 253 nt
Filed under: uncultured bacterium
Lineage: Bacteria
Description: partial 16S ribosomal RNA
Rfam family: Bacterial small subunit ribosomal RNA
Source: RNAcentral